UUAAUGUUCUGAGUGCUUCUGAAGUGACAGGAAGUGGUGCAUAUGCCCAGGGACAAAGCCAAGUUGAGGAGCAGAACCACAGUAGCUUGAGGAAGGAAUAGGUGAGAGUAGUGAUCCACCUGCCUCGGCCUCCCAAAGUGCUGGGAUUACAGGCGUGAGCCACCGCGUCCAGCCAAUUGGUGGGUUCCUGGUCUCACUGACUUCAAGAAUGAAGCCACGGACCCUCGCAGUGAGUGUUACAGUUCUUAAAGAUGGUGUGUUCAGAAUUUGUUCCUUCUGAUGUUCGGACGUGUAUGGAGUUUCUUCAUUCUGGUGGGUUCGUGGUCUCUCUGGCUUCAGGAAUGAAGCUGUAGAACUCUGCGAAAUAAGCUUCAAAUGAAAUAGGCUUUCGAUGUGACAGUGUUUACAGGAAACAUUAUGCUGUUACGAACUUCCCUUAGAAUCAACCCAUUUGUGAAACACCACAUUAAUAAGAGCAGUAUCUUUGGAGAUUGGAGAGUCCACCAAGGAUGCCCACUGGCUCCCUACAAAGUUUUUUAUGUGAGGACUCGGUCUCAGGCUCAGAAGUGGAAGAGAUGUGCCUUGACUCAGAUGAGACUUUGGACUUGGACUUUUGAGUUAAUUCUGGAAUGAGUUAAAACUUUAGGGGACUGUUG
Molecule: long non-coding RNA, 656 nt
Filed under: Homo sapiens (human)
Lineage: Eukaryota; Metazoa; Chordata; Mammalia; Primates; Hominidae
Description: HSALNT0313282
Source: RNAcentral